GGACGGUUGGCCGAGUGGCUAGGCUCAGGUCUGCAAAACCUGCUACAGCGGUUCAAAUCCGCUACCGUCCUCAA
RNAcentral lists this transfer RNA (74 nucleotides) under Saprospirales bacterium. Its description in RNAcentral is "tRNA-Cys". It matches the Rfam family "tRNA". From Rfam's summary of the family: Transfer RNA (tRNA) molecules are approximately 80 nucleotides in length. Their secondary structure includes four short double-helical elements and three loops (D, anti-codon, and T loops). The record is from RNAcentral. Lineage: Bacteria; Pseudomonadati; Bacteroidota; Saprospiria; Saprospirales.